Molecule: long non-coding RNA, 2357 nt
Filed under: Macaca fascicularis (crab-eating macaque)
Lineage: Eukaryota; Metazoa; Chordata; Mammalia; Primates; Cercopithecidae
Description: lncRNA (ENSMFAG00000054777.1)
Source: RNAcentral
UUUUUUUUUUUUUUAAUUUUUUGCCCCCCUUUGCAAAGCCACACCAGCCAGUUAUUCUGCAGCCAGAAUAAAACCCUAUGGUCUGGCUAACCCGGGCUUUAGAGAACUGACUUUCCGAUUUGGCAGAAUAAGAGAUGCCUUCAAUACAUCUAGGCUAUCACUCUGAGAUGCUGCCUUUGCAAACCCCCUUUCUCUCCCUCCCCACCCCCCAAAAAAGGAAAGGAAAAGAAAGAAAAGACGGGAAAAAAGACUUAUUGGGGGUGGAAGUGGUGCCCUCUCUUCCUGGAAAGCUUAGUGCCUUUGCUAUGCAAAUAACAUGUGCAGAGCAUCAAAAGGUAUCAGGAGAAAAGAAGACAAGAGGAGCAGGAAGGGCAGCAAAGUUUUGUUGAAGUAGCCCUAGAUCUCACUACCGGCCCCCAGCCAACUUGAAUUGCAGCAGGAGAAAAUUUUGGCAGCUUUUCCUCGGAGGCAGAGCACACUGACGUCAGUCUGCAGAUGUGCCUGGGCUGCGUCGGGUGCGCAUGUGUCCUGGGUCGUCACGUGGAGGGGGAGGGGAGGUAGAGGUACAAUCGGGGUAACCAACUACCAGCCAUUCAGAAGGGCUUAGACAAUGUCAACUUUUCCACACUGUGAAUGAGAGAAAUUCUGGCCUCUCUAACCUCUCUCCUAUCUCACUCCGCCUCUUUUCCUCCUCCUCCUCUAAACUCUUAGAAAUUCUAGCCUGGUUUGCUAUUAGUUGUUUCUUGGAAAAAGGAAGGGGGAGGGAGAAGGAUGAAUGACUUUAGAUGGACUAAUGUCACUGUUAAGAUCUCUGGUGUCAUUCUCUGUGUAAUUUUAUUUUUGAACUCCACACAAUCAAAAUGUUAAAACUUGCACGUAAACAGUGCCUGUGAGGAAACUUAAAGCUUAGAUUCGUGGAGCAGGCAGACAUCAAGCCUCAGUAGCUACAAGUGUACAAAAUGCCUGUGUUUUAUACAUACUUCAGCAAGUAAGGUUAGCACCAAAAGGAAAAGUAAACUAAAGUAAACUAAUACCAGCACAUUUUCCAUCUGAUUAUCGACUUCAGGUUAUGUGGAGCUUUAAAAGAAAAAAAAAAAAAGUAGGGGAGGAGGGAGCGGGGGAAGAGAGAAGCUUGCAUUAUUUCCAGAUGAGGGUGAGACUGGAUGGUGUUUUAAAGUGCAACCGGGAAAAACCACAAGUGGAGUGUAUUUUUUUAAAGUCAGUCCAUUGAAUGAAACUUCAAUGAUGCCCAAAUGAAAAUAAAUCCGAAAUAGGACCUCCCUCCCACCACCCCCCACCAAAAAAAAAAAGGAGGGGGGAACAGGAACCCUGCUGCGAUCUCAAGAUAAACAAACAAAACCUCAAAACUGGUUCUUCAAGCUUCCCAAGCCCACCCUCCCUCCCCGCUACACACCAGCUGCCAGUCCAGACUUUAAGGAUAAAAUACCGCUACAAUGUAGCACUUUCACUUUCAUUUGCUGAGAGAAACCUGCCACUGGGGAGAAAAUGCCCAAUGUUUUCCAUGUCCUAAGCAAGCAAACAAAGUCUGGCACAUACAUCGGAAACAGGAAAAAAUGUGAAAAUAGCUCAGGACAAAUGUUGCCUUUCAACGGUGUAAUCUGCUGCAUCAUUUAUCUGUCUCUACCAUUGAGUGUAGAAUAGGGAGCUGUUUAAGAGUUUCCGAGGUUGGGGGCAGGGGAAAAUUGACGCCUUGAAAUUCCAGUCCUUAGUUAAUGCCAAGUCGAUUUCCGAUGGCCAGAACCAGAAAGGAGAAUUGGACCAGGGGGAAGGGAGUAGGAUGAUCUUUCCGAACACCGGCUCUUAAAUUUCAAGCUUCUGCUAACAUUAUUGCCCAUUUGAUUUUUUUUUUUUUUUCUUCCUACGCCGGAGGUAGUAGGUGUAAUUCUUCUGGUGAAUCUAUGAAUAGUUGGCUAAAAGGAGGCAUGAAUCAGACCGAGAACGUCCAAGAAUACAGUUAUUUCAAUUCUUCUUCAAGGGUUGAAAGUGUCCGGAAAGCAUCUGUCCACAGUCAAUAGUCCUCAUCCUGACGUUAAUCAGUAGUAUUUGGCUAAAUGCCAUUUAAAAUGUAGAAAUCUGUUCAAUAGUUGGCCUUGAGUUUUAAAUAAAGAUGAUUCAUAUGUAUGUAUGUAUGUGUGUGUAUUUGUAUGUGUACAUAUGUGUGUACAUAUAUGUGAAAUACAUGAGGCAGCAAAAUAUAGCAAGAAUUGUAAACACCAAAAAUAAGAAAAGUAGGCAUCAAAUGACUAUUUAAAUAGUUUUGAACCUUAACCUUCCUUAAUUUUUCCAGUACUGGCAGUAAAUAGGGACAGCCAGUACACACACAAAAAAUAAAGGUA